Molecule: long non-coding RNA, 578 nt
Organism: Galeopterus variegatus (Sunda flying lemur)
Lineage: Eukaryota; Metazoa; Chordata; Mammalia; Dermoptera; Cynocephalidae
Exons: 3
Source: RefSeq, a predicted model, not a curated record
CCGAGAGCAGGAGGGAGGAAGUAUAUUCAUGCCUGUCCUCGAGGCAUGCAGGACGUGGAAAAUGCUGGGUGUGAAUAUGUCUUAAGUACAGCGAUGUCUCUCUUAUCCAGAGUGUCAUUUCUUAAGAGGACGCUUUCUCAAGAAGGAUGGAUUGGAAAGGCUUAAAGAAUAGUUUAUGGCCACAGACACCCCAACCGGGUGCAAAAGACAGGUGGUAUCUCUCCUCUACUCCAAACCUCCAAAUGUUUUCUAUCUUAAAGUAAAAAAGGUGACAUUUGAGCAAAGGCCUGAAGCAGAUUAUCAGCUCCUAGAGGACAGAGAUUUUUGACUCUGUGAAUCACUGAUGCAUCCUUAGAAAGUGACAAUCAAGAUAGUCACAAUCUCAGCCUCCUCUGAGUUUACAAUAUAACACAGGAGACACUACUAUUGAAAGAUACACAGAAGAGACACAACACAGGUGAUGACACUACUAUUGAAAAAAAAAUGAAUAAGGUACUAUGAUUGGGUAUAUUUUGGAGUUCAUUUAGUAGGAGCACUUCUUCCAGUCUGAGGGGGAGGAGUGAAAGUUCAAGUGAGAC